GCCCAGGCACCCGCGUCGGGUGCGGCCCCGUACGAGCUGGGUUCUCUGCCUUCGCUGCGUGUCGGCACCUCUGCCAAGGCGGAGCGGACGGCGGAAGCUAGACCCAGCGCAUCUCCAGCCUCACGAGGCUCACGCGGUCGUCCGUGGGCCAUAGUCGUCUGUCUCCAUCUGUGGCCGAAGUGACACACCGAAGCGAGUAAAAAGCUAAUUCUUAGAACAGUGUGAUGCACCCGGCCCUCCGUUGGCUUCCCGUGCCCUUUGUAGCUAAAUUUGGAAAAUCCUGAGUUUCUCAAAGUCCAAGAACUUUAUAAUGUGCACUGCUAGGCUAACACCUUUACAACGAAUGGCCCCAGCUUCCCUGAAUCGGAAUGUGAAAAAGACACUCUGAAAACCAAGGCUAAGGGUUCUGUUCUUUCUUUCAGGUGUUAAAAUGGUGGCAUCUUUUUAUUGCGCGAGGGAAAACGCAACAACAAUAAUAAAACACUCCUCCCAAAUCCUGAACAUUCAGUUAUGUCCAGAAAAUUAGGAUGAAGAUAGGACUUUGCUUUACCGCUCUGUACUGCGUUCGGGUUUUUUGUUUGUUCGGUUUGGUGUUUGGUUUUUGGUUUAGUUUGGUUUGUUUGUUUUCCAGAAAGGCCGAAAGCCAUCGUGACGUCGAGGCACAAGCUCCACUGUCCAAACAGUAGAGGUCGCAUGGAGUUCGUGAGACCGGCAUUAGCUGCCGCUGGAGCUGUACCCAGCCCACCGUAUUUUCACAGAUUAGCCAGACAGCCUUCUAUUCGCAUCACUACUGGUCCUGGUCAGCCAUAAGAUCCUUCCUGUCAGGGACUUUUCUUUGAACUAGGAUGUAAUUAACGGGAUUCUUUCCCCCUUUUAAGUUACCCUUGGUUUCUACGAGGGAUAACAGCUUCCUGUGGGGAUUUUCAGAUACAAGCAAACAAAACACUGCAUAACUCUGUGUGCAGCCCUUACCCGGAUGUGUACAGCUUUAGGGUGUGCUGGAGGAACAGAAUAUCCAAAUGACCUCCUUGGAAAACAACGGUUAAGGAGCACUGGGACUCUGGCAGGACGUGGGUUCUCUCCGACCCCUUUAUUCCCCCAUGCCCGCUGCCCCACAUGUGUGUACACAUGUGCUUCUGUUUGUGAGCACGCAAGAGUUCAUUAUAGAGGGCAUCUCCCUUACCUGUUGUCUCUCUUUGAUUUAAAAAAAAAUCUAUUCAAGCAUAAGU
Mus caroli (Ryukyu mouse) is the source of this 1229-nucleotide long non-coding RNA. RefSeq lists it as uncharacterized. The record is from RefSeq and is a predicted model, not a curated record. Lineage: Eukaryota; Metazoa; Chordata; Mammalia; Rodentia; Muridae.